Molecule: transfer RNA, 64 nt
Filed under: Phyllomimus detersus
Lineage: Eukaryota; Metazoa; Arthropoda; Insecta; Orthoptera; Tettigoniidae
Description: tRNA-His
Source: RNAcentral
AUCCGAGUAGUUUAAUAAAAAUAAUAAGUUGUGGGCUUGUAGUUGUAGAUAACUACCUUGGGUU